CAUGCUAGACGAGUUGAUCAUGGCUCAGAAUCAACGCUGGCGGCGUGCCUCAGACAUGCAAGUCGAACGAUUAAGACUUCCUUCGGGAAGUGCAUAAAGUGGCGCACGGGUGAGUAACACGUAAGUAAUCUACCCUCGAGUGGGGAAUAACGUUCGGAAACGGACGCUAAUACCGCAUAACGCAGCGGCACCGCAAGGUGACAGUUGUUAAAGGAGCAAUCCGCUUGAGGAGGAGCUUGCGGCAGAUUAGCUAGUUGGUAAGGUAAUGGCUUACCAAGGCUACGAUCUGUAUCCGGUCUAAGAGGACGGUCGGACACACUGACACUGAAUAACGGGUCAGACUCCUACGGGAGGCAGCAGUCGGGAAUUUUGGGCAAUGGGCGAAAGCCUGACCCAGCAACGCCGCGUGAAGGAUGAAGUAUUUCGGUAUGUAAACUUCGAAAGAAUAGGAAGAAUAAAUGACGGUACUAUUUAUAAGCUCCGGCUAACUACGUG
RNAcentral lists this ribosomal RNA (495 nucleotides) under uncultured bacterium. RNAcentral's name for it is "bacterial SSU rRNA". It matches the Rfam family "Bacterial small subunit ribosomal RNA", at positions 1 to 507 of the family's 1533-position model. The record is from RNAcentral.